GAUGAACGCUGGCGGCGUGCUUAACACAUGCAAGUCGAACGAAGCACCUCUCCCGAAGAUUGACACAGCUUGCUGUAGAUUGAUUCAUUUGAGGUGACUGAGUGGCGGACGGGUGAGUAACGCGUGGGUAACCUGCCUCAUAGAGGGGGACAACAGUUGGAAACGACUGCUAAUACCGCAUAGUAAGAAGAAUUCGCAUGUUUUCUUCUUGAAAGAUUUAUCGCUAUGAGAUGGACCCGCGUCUGAUUAGCUAGUUGGUAAGGUAACGGCUUACCAAGGCGACGAUCAGUAGCCGGCAUGAGAGAGUGAACGGCCACAUUGGGACUGAGACACGGCACAAACUCCUACGGGAGGCAGCAGUGGGGAAUAUUGCACAAUGGGGGAAACCCUGAUGCAGCGACGCCGCGUGAGUGAAGAAGUAUUUCGGUAUGUAAAGCUCUAUCAGAAGGGAAGAUAAUGACGGUACCUGACUAAGAAGCCCCGGCUAACUACGUG
This 495-nucleotide ribosomal RNA is filed under the name uncultured bacterium. RNAcentral describes it as "partial 16S ribosomal RNA". It matches the Rfam family "Bacterial small subunit ribosomal RNA", at positions 28 to 507 of the family's 1533-position model. The record is from RNAcentral.